AGAAGAAGGUGCACUUGCCUCAAAGGGUUUCUGCCAGGCACAGUUCAUCCUUUUGACCUUUCUCUUCCUAUAAAUAAGUCAAGUAGAGAGGGGUUUGUGUUAAGUGCGUGAAUAAGUCAAUUUUCCACGGACAUAAAAUCAGGCAUUUCAGUACAUUUUCUCCGCAGUUUUGAAAUUCUAGGAGAAGAAUUGGGUUUAUUUUUGGAUAACAGAAACUUUGAUACCCUGCUUCGUAACCCAGGAAAAGUGACGUUUUGCUUAGAAACUCUUUUGCGUAAACUUGGCACGUAUGAAUUGCAUAGAAGUUGGAAAAUUUGGAAUUAAAAUGGGCUCAACGCAAGAAAACGAUUAUAAUUGUUCCACCUGCUCAACUAAGAAGCAAUUAAGCAAUCACAUUUUAACGCACGACCCAGGAGCGAAGUUGAAAUGUCAGGUGUGUGGGAAAGUUUCGAAAAGCUCAAAAGCCUUGUCAAGACACGUGUCAAUGUAUCACGCCAACCGGGAACGACCAAGUUGCGACAUUUGUCUCCGUGUAUUUUCCACGGCAAAACAUUUACGGACGCACAUUGCUACCGUUCACAGCACGCUGAAACGACCAUCGUUUUCCAUGCGGGUUUCCUGAUUGUGACAAAUCCUAUCUGUCGAAACGCCAUGUUUCGAAACACGUUAAAACUGAACACACCGAGAAUCCGACCCGAUUUCCGUGCACACUUUGCGGUAAAGAAUUCAAGACCAGAGAAAAUCUUUCCACCCACACGACGGAGAAGGCCUUCAUUUGUUCCACUUGUGGGAGGAGGUUUGCACAUUCAUCCAGCUUAAAAAGACAUGAGGUCACGCAUUUAGAAAAUUCUACCCGUAGGAUUUUCAAGUGUGAACUUUGUCCUCAAAUGUCCUUAUCUAAGGCUGACUUACAAAGGCAUGUGCAAGCUGUGCAUGAAAAUCUGAGGAAUCAUAGGUGCACAUUUUGCGACAAAAUGUUCUCGAGAUCAUCCCACUUGAGACAACACGUGGAGGCGAGACAUCCCACGAGUUCGGAGAAGAUUCAUUCCUGCGACAAAUGCGGGUAUAAGAGCCACUCGAAAAGAAAUUUAGACCGGCACGUAUUGAGGCACAAUAAUACGCAUCGACGAGAAUGCUACUUCUGCAAGGAGCAGAUUUCCUCCUUUUCGAAUUUGGUGACACACUGUCGUCGUCAUACUCUCGAACUGUGAGAAAGGAGAGGAUUUAUUGUUAUUUUAAUAUU
Folsomia candida is the source of this 1243-nucleotide long non-coding RNA. RefSeq lists it as uncharacterized. Lineage: Eukaryota; Metazoa; Arthropoda; Collembola; Entomobryomorpha; Isotomidae. The transcript is spliced from 3 exons. The record is from RefSeq and is a predicted model, not a curated record.